Long non-coding RNA from Nelumbo nucifera (sacred lotus), 667 nucleotides. RefSeq lists it as uncharacterized. The record is from RefSeq and is a predicted model, not a curated record. NCBI's taxonomy places the organism in Eukaryota, Viridiplantae, Streptophyta, Magnoliopsida, Proteales, Nelumbonaceae.
AAAGAAAAUUGCAAAAAUUACGGAGAGGCGUGCAACGCGGCUUUGGUUAAACCCUAAUUCCUCGUUCACCUAUUUAUGUAAGUAGGUGAGCAGAUGAAGGCGGAUGAAGCAGGAGGAAGAGAGCCCCGCGAAGCAGAGAGCAGGGAGAGGGAGAUGGAGCUGCUGGAAGUUUUUGGGAUGGGAGCCUUGGGAAGCAGAGGCGAGUGAGAGACCGAGAUAAAUUCAUUUUCUCUCGUUCUCUUUCUCUUCUUCUGCUAUGCUUUUCUUCCCAAGGCCUCCCAUGCCGAUGAUUUCCCGUGGUUCCUCCCUCUACUUUCCUCUCUAAUCUAAUUUUCCCUUGAUUUCUCAUGUCGUCCGCGCCCUGAUGGGCUGAACGUGUUCGUGUAAGUUUCUUUGAGAUGAUUUUUUUGUGGGGCAAUUCGUCUGGAGGAGGAAGAAGUAGAAAGCAGCUUUAAAAUUGUAGAUCUACGCUAUAUCUAGCGUUAGACUGACUGUUAAAAGUAAAUCAGUUAACGAGUUAGAUCUAGCCGUUUUUUUUUAUGUUUUAAUAUUUGUCUCCCGUUAUAGAAUCUACAACUCAAAGUAUAAGAAGGGAUAAAAAUCUGAUUGUAUUGCCAUUGGUUUGUGCAAUUCCUUUUUGAAUCUGAUUUGUGAAAAUUUUAUUCUA